CCCGCUGAACUUAAGCAUAUCAAUAAGCGGAGGAAAAGAAACUAACAAGGAUUCCCCUAGUAACGGCGAGUGAAGCGGGAACAGCUCAAAUUUGAAACCUGGCGUCCUUCGGGCGUCCGGAUUGUAUUCUAGAGAAGCGUCUUCCACGCUGGUCCAUGUAUAAGUGCCCUGGAACGGGCUGUCAUAGAGGGUGAGAAUCCCGUCCUUGACAUGGGCUACCAGUGUUUUUGUGAUGCGCUUUCUAAGAGUCGAGUUGUUUGGGAAUGCAGCUCAAAGUGGGUGGUAAAUUCCAUCUAAAGCUAAAUAUUGGCCUGAGACCGAUAGCGAACAAGUACCGUGAGGGAAAGAUGAAAAGCACUUUGAAAAGAGAGUCAAACAGUACGUGAAAUUGCUGAAAGGGAAACGCUUGAAGUCAGUCGCGCCCCCUGGAAUUCAGCCCUGCUUUUGUAGGGUGUACUUUCCAGGGGGCGGGCCAACAUCAGUUUUGACCGGCAGAUAAAGGCUGGGGGAAUGUGGCUCCUUUUGGAGUGUUAUAGCCCUCGGUCACAUAUGCCGGUUGGGACUGAGGAUCGCAGCGCGCCCUUGUGGCAGGCCUUCGGGCACUUUCGCGCUUAGGAUGUUGGCAUAAUGGCUUUAAGCGACCCGUCUUGAAACACGG
This 658-nucleotide ribosomal RNA is filed under the name uncultured fungus. RNAcentral describes it as "eukaryotic LSU rRNA". It matches the Rfam family "Eukaryotic large subunit ribosomal RNA", at positions 24 to 664 of the family's 3401-position model. The record is from RNAcentral. Lineage: Eukaryota; Fungi.